ACGAACGCUGGCGGCAGGCCUAACACAUGCAAGUCGAGCGCUACCUUCGGGUGGAGCGGCGGACGGGUUAGUAACGCGUGGGAACCUACCUUUUAGUACGGGACAACGUUUGGAAACGAACGCUAAUACCUUAUACGCCCUUCGGGGGAAAGAUUUAUCGGAAUUGGAUUAGCCCGCGUUAGAUUAGAUAGUUGGUGGGGUAAUGGCCUACCAAGUCUACGAUCUAUAGCUGGUUUGAGAGGAUGAUCAGCAACACUGGGACUGAGACACGGCCCAGACUCCUACGGGAGGCAGCAGUGGGGAAUCUUAG
RNAcentral lists this ribosomal RNA (310 nucleotides) under uncultured Rhodobacterales bacterium. Its description in RNAcentral is "SSU rRNA". It matches the Rfam family "Bacterial small subunit ribosomal RNA", at positions 29 to 367 of the family's 1533-position model. Lineage: Bacteria; Pseudomonadati; Pseudomonadota; Alphaproteobacteria; Rhodobacterales. The record is from RNAcentral.